ACCUUUAGUGCACCUUUGGGUCUUAACAUGAGAGAGGAAAAUUUGGGUAUUGGCUGCAGCAGCAGCCAUGACAGGCAGAGCAAUGCAGCUAUAGCUAUGGCUAGAUGGCAGCAGGAAGUGACUUCUCAUUAAAGAAAGAGAGCAAUGGAAAAAAAAGGAGAGAGCCAUUUGAAAGGAAGAACUUCCUAGCACAUGAAAAGGGGGAGAUGCUCUCUAGAGGGACCAGAAGAGAGUUUCAUUACACUUGAAAAACAAGGAGGCAAGCAGCUCGAGCAAGGGAAGAUUUGGGACUCUCAGCACACUAGAAGGAGAACACUGGGGUAGAGAGCAACAAAGCACGAAAAAAGGGGAACAAAGGCAACAAGAGAGGAAGUGAACCAUCUAACAACGAGCAACACAAACACAACAGAUGAGGAGAGGAGGAUAGAUUGCAACAGGGAUCGGUGACAGAAAAAAGUAACAUCAUUGAGAAGAAAGGACCUGUCAUAGGCAGGAAUUUGACAAAGAAGAGUUAAACAUCAAGGUGCUGAAGUGUCUUGAUAGAUCUUGGCAACCAAAGGUCACAACUAUCUCAGAAACAAGAGAUCUAUCCAUUUUGACUACAGUUGCAUUGUUUGGCAAGCUUAGGGAGCAUGAGAUUGAAAUACAAAGGCUUAAUGAGCUUGAGUCAAGUGAGAAAAAGGUAAAGAACAUAGCCUUGAAGACUAGCACCAAGAAGAAUGAGGAACCCGAGGAUGAGAUGGCUGAAUCAAGUGAAAGUGAGAACUUGAAUCUCCUUGUCAGGAGGUUUGGUAAGUAUCUCAAAAGGAAAGGUAUCAAAGGUAAUCCCAAGAGGUAUACUUCCAAACACAAUGAAUCAAAGUCUUCUAAUUUUACAUGUUAUAACUGUACAAAAUAAGGACAUAUCAAAAUUGAAUGUCCAAAUGCUAAUAAAGAAAAGGAGAAGAGUGUUGAUAGGAAAAAGGAGAAGAAGCCAAAGGAGAAACGUGCACACAUUGCACGGAAGGACAAUGAUGAUUCAACUACAAGUAGCUCCUCACAAGAUGAGAGUGAAGAAGCCAACUUGUGCCUCAUGGGUGGUUGUGAGUCAUCCUCCUUAAGCCAAGUCAUAAAAGGUGAUAAGAAAGAUUUGUGGUACCUUGAUAGUGAUUGUUCGAGACAUAUGAGAGGAGAUAAGACCAAAUUUGCAAAGUUGGAGUUGAAGGAGGAAGGGUUUGUAACCUAUGGAGACAACAACAAAGGAAAAAUUCUUAGAAAUGGAGUCAAAGGUAAUGGAUCCUCUUUCAACAUCAAGAAUGUGCUGCUGGUAGAAGGACUCAAACACAAUUUGAUAAGUAUAAGUUAACUAUGUGAUAAAGGCUUUAAAGUCAUGUUUGAACCAACUUGAUCUGUAUCAUGCAUCAUUUUGCAUCCAUUGUUUACUUACAAAAGAGGAUGACAGUUGGUUAUGGCAUAGAAGACUUUGUCACAUACACAUGCAGCAUUUCAAUUGGCUGAAUAGAAAACAACUAGUUGAAGGACUACCAAAACUCAACUUUUUGAUGGAUAGAGUGUGUGAAGCAUGUCAAAAAGGAAAACAAACUAAGGUCUCUUUUAAAUCCAAAAAUGUUGUUUCAACUGAAAGACCUUUAGAGAUGCUUCACAUGGAUUUAUUUGGUCCAUCUCGAACCAUGAGCCUUGGUGGCAAUCUUUAUGCAUUUGUUGUUGUUGAUGAUUUUUCUAGGUACACAUGGACUUUGUUCUUAGCUGCCAAAAAUGACACUUUCCAUUCCUUUAAAAAACUUGCCAAACACAAAUGAAAGGAAAAACAGGUCACUUGAGGAACUAGCUAGAACUAUGUUGAAUGAAAACUCACAACCUAAGUAUUUUUAGGCUGAUGCAAUCAACACUACUUGUUAAUAGAGUGUUGAUUAGGCCAAUUUUGAAGAAAACCCCUUUUGAACUUUUCAAACAGAGGAGGCCUGUAUUAAGUCACCUAAAAGUAUUUGGAUGUAAGUGUUUCAUCUUAAAUAAUGGCAAAGAAAGUCUUAGAAAAUUUGAUGCAAAAGCGAAUGAAGGUGUUUUACUAGGCUAUGCUACACAAAGUCAUGCAUAUAAAGUCUAUAAUAAGAGACUGAUGACUGUUGAAGAGUCCAUGCAUGUUGUAUUUCAUGAAACUAUCCCACAGUUGAAGGAUCAAGUGCCAAAGAAUGCAGAUGAAGAAGAUCUACUGCAAAAACAUAUUUAUGCUGCAGAAAAGCCCUAUGCUGUAGGAAAUCAAUCGACUGAAAAGGAAAAAUAGUCUACUGAAAAAGCUGCAGACAACAACUUGCCCAAAGAUUGGAUCCAGCCUAGAGGUUUAUCAAAGGACAACAUCAUAUGUGAUAUCAAAUAGGGAGUAUCUACUAGACGUAGGAUUGUAUUUUGUGAACAUGUUGCUUUUGUAUCUCAAAUUGAACCUAAGAAUGUGAAUGAUGCUUUGAAUGACAGUAAUUGAAUUGUUGUUAUGCAAGAUGAACUUAAUCAAUUCACAAGAAAUGAUGUGUGGUUUCUAGUGCCUAAAACUGAUGAUAUGAAUAUAAUUGGAACUAAAUGGGUUUUUAGAAACAAAAUGGAUGAAGAUGGUAAUAUUGUAAGGAAUAAAGCUAGAGUAGUUGCUAAAGGUUAUAAUCAAGAAUAAGACAUUGACUUUGAUGAAACUUAUGCACUUGUAGCUAGACUAGAAACUGUGAGAUUACUCUUAGCAUAUGCUUGCAUGUGUAACUUUAAAUUGCAUCAAAUGGAUGUGAAAAGUGCAUUCUUGAAUGGUUUCCUAAAUGAAGAAGUGUAUGUAUCACAACCUCCUGGAUUUUAGGAUCAUCUCUAUCCUAACCAUGUUUUCAAAUUGAAAAAGGCCUUAUAUGGUUUGAAACAAGCACCAAGACAAUGGUAUGAAAUGCUAAGCAAUUUUCUCUUAUCAAAAGGUUAUGUUAGAGGUGCAGUGGAUAAAACACUCU
Long non-coding RNA from Vigna unguiculata (cowpea), 2975 nucleotides. RefSeq lists it as uncharacterized. The record is from RefSeq and is a predicted model, not a curated record. Lineage: Eukaryota; Viridiplantae; Streptophyta; Magnoliopsida; Fabales; Fabaceae.